UACGUAGGUGGCAAGCGUUGUCCGGAUUUAUUGGGCGUAAAGCGAGCGCAGGCGGUUUCUUAAGUCUGAUGUGAAAGCCCCCGGCUCAACCGGGGAAGGUCAUUGGAAACUGGGGAACUUGAGUGCAGAAGAGGAGAGUGGAAUUCCAUGUGUAGCGGUGAAAUGCGUAGAUAUAUGGAGGAACACCAGUGGCGAGGGCGGCUUUCUGGACUGUAACUGACACUGAGGCACGGAAGCGUGGGUAGCAAACAGG
Molecule: ribosomal RNA, 253 nt
Filed under: uncultured bacterium
Lineage: Bacteria
Description: partial 16S ribosomal RNA
Rfam family: Bacterial small subunit ribosomal RNA
Source: RNAcentral